AUCCAACUGACGAGUCCCAAAUAGAACGAAACGCGCAUCCUAUAU
This 45-nucleotide non-coding RNA is filed under the name Schistosoma curassoni. Lineage: Eukaryota; Metazoa; Platyhelminthes; Trematoda; Strigeidida; Schistosomatidae. The record is from RNAcentral.